RNAcentral lists this ribosomal RNA (804 nucleotides) under uncultured Pseudomonadota bacterium. RNAcentral's name for it is "bacterial SSU rRNA". It matches the Rfam family "Bacterial small subunit ribosomal RNA", at positions 58 to 839 of the family's 1533-position model. The record is from RNAcentral. Lineage: Bacteria; Pseudomonadati; Pseudomonadota.
CAAGUCGAACGCGAAAGCCCCGCAAGGGGUAAGUAGAGUGGCAAACGGGUGAGUAACACGUGGGUGAUCUGCCUCAGAGUGGGGGAUAACGACCCGAAAGGGUCGCUAAUACCGCAUAACAUCCUGCCUUUGGAUAGGUGGAGAUCAAAGUUGGGGAUCCGCAAGGACUUGACGCUCAGAGAGGAGCCCGCGGCCGAUUAGCUAGUUGGUGAGGUAACGGCUCACCAAGGCAACGAUCGGUAUCCGGCCUGAGAGGGCGGACGGACACACUGGGACUGAGACACGGCCCAGACUCCUACGGGAGGCAGCAGUGGGGAAUUGUUCGCAAUGGGCGCAAGCCUGACGACGCAACGCCGCGUGGAGGACGAAGAUUUUCGGAUCGUAAACUCCUUUCGAUCGGAAAGAACAGCUUUUGGGUUAACAGCCUGAGAGUUUGACGGUACCGAGAGAAGAAGCCCCGGCUAACUCCGUGCCAGCAGCCGCGGUAAUACGGGGGGGGCAAGCGUUGUUCGGAAUUACUGGGCGUAAAGGGCUAGUAGGCGGCCAACUAAGUCCGACGUGAAAUCCCCAGGCUUAACCUGGGAACUGCGUCGGAUACUGGAUGGCUUGAAUUCGGGAGAGGGAUGCAGAAUUCCAGGUGUAGCGGUGAAAUGCGUAGAUAUCUGGAGGAAUACCGGUGGCGAAGGCGGCAUCCUGGACCGACAUUGACGCUGAACGGCGAAAGCUAGGGGAGCAAACGGGAUUAGAUACCCCGGUAGUCCUAGCCCUAAACGAUGAAUGCUUGGUGUGGCGGGUAUCGAUCCC